RNAcentral lists this small nuclear RNA (292 nucleotides) under Neotoma lepida (desert woodrat). Its description in RNAcentral is "7SK RNA". It matches the Rfam family "7SK RNA". From Rfam's summary of the family: 7SK was discovered as an abundant small nuclear RNA in the mid-70s but a possible function has only recently been suggested. Two independent studies have found that 7SK RNA binds the CDK9/cyclin T complex (known as elongation factor P-TEFb). The record is from Rfam by way of RNAcentral. Lineage: Eukaryota; Metazoa; Chordata; Mammalia; Rodentia; Cricetidae.
UGGUGUGAGGGAGAUCUGGCUGUUACAUCUGUGACAUCUGCCAUCCCAUUUCCNCCAUGGUUCAUUUGGAUGAUCUUGCGGGCUAACUCACUUGUCCACUUCUCUCAUAACUCCAUGUGCAUCCUUCCUGAAGCUGUGCACUUGGUGGAAGAAAAGGACCUUGCCAGUUAGAGGAGAGUUGUUNUUUGGUCCAGAGUAAAGGAGUAGCUGUGCUUCUCUGUCAGAGCCUCCAAGUAAGCAUAGCCAGGUUACAAAUGUCAAGUCCUGCCUUCUCCUGGCAAUGGACUUGGUC